This 2094-nucleotide long non-coding RNA is filed under the name Pan troglodytes (chimpanzee). RNAcentral's name for it is "lincRNA". The record is from RNAcentral. Lineage: Eukaryota; Metazoa; Chordata; Mammalia; Primates; Hominidae.
AGGGGUGAAUAAGGCGGAAGCUGAGGGGACAGUCAUAGCCAGGACAGGAAUGUCACCCCCAGCUGGCAGACAGCACUCUGAGCAGCCAGGCCUGGGAUCCUCUGACCUGCCCACUACUUCAGGAGGCCAGUGUGCUCACUGCCACCCCACGGUCUGGGGACCCUGGACUCCAAACUUGUAAGUGCUAGAGUGGGCAGCUGGAGGCCACCUGGGCACUUUAAAACACAGGUACUCGGGAACAAACCUCUGCUGGGGUGGGUGCGGUGAGGGAUGGGGGACCUUGGGUCCCAGGCCCUCUGUGAUUUUCUGAUGAACUUCCUUCUGUGGGAGCGCUGGCUCAGGGAGCUCCUGACCUCUCCUCCUCUACCACUUCCUCCGCCGCCCGCCUCCACCUGCUCCCGGCCUGAUGUCCGCAGGGUCAUGUGUGCAGUAGUCCCACGUCCAGGCUCACUGCGGAGGCAGCCCUCUUCAGACAGGAGGCAGAAGAGAGGGCCCCCGCAAGUUAGCUUUUACUUUAAUAUUAUUAUGUCAUUAUGUAUAUUAUUAUUGUCAUCAACAUCUUUUUAUUCUGCAAAUACUAAUUUCAUAUCCAAUAUGGGCAGGCUCUGUGCAAGGUAAAUUACUAAGUUUUGUUAAGGAAGUCAAACAAAGUCAUGGGUUCUAUAAGAAGACAACUAUUUUAAAAUAUGGCACAAAUGACAUUAUAUAGUUAAGAUAGUAUAAAGACACGACUUGGAACAAGCAAACGUGGGAACAAGGCAAGGAGAACGUGUAGCUUCCUUUCGGAGUGCUCACACUAAUUGCUGAUGAAACAUUUCUGCACUCGGCAGGGAAUCAGUCCACAGCCCCCCUCUGAUUAAAAUGCGACCCAGCUUGGACUCUGAGAGCAAAUGUCCCAGUGCCCCUGGGAAGAAGUGCUGCAAUCCUCUGUUUGCGCUGUUUAUCAUUUCUGAGAAGCAAUGACAUAGCUGCCUCUUGCAGUUUGGUCUAAUUACUUGUCUGAUCUCCCCCAGGGAGAAGCAGCUCUGUUCUCCCUUGGCCUCCAGACAGUGGGGGCCACAGUCUCUCCUGGAGGAGUGGGGCUGGCCAUCGUGGGCAGGGGAGGUAGAGACCCCUUGAAGCUGAUCUGUAUUGUAGGGUGUGGAGUAGGGCUGGGGGUUCCUGGGCCUCUAAUCUUUAAAAUCCAGCAAUAAGGUAGUGUACUGUGAGCCAGGCCCAUCAUUCUCUUUCCUCCCUAAAACCAUCGAUGAGUCUUCCCCUAAGGGCUGGAGGGGAGGGUCCCCUUUCUUUGACUCCCCUUGCAGUUCCUCUGAUGCUGAAGAAUAGGGCUUGCAGGGACUCUGCCUCCUGCAGGGAGCAGCCACUGUUUCCAGGGACCCUCACAGAAGAGGAGCUAAUUUCACACUUUAGGACUCCAUAGAAGCCAGCUUCCUGGCAGUCUGAAGUGUGCUUCUCACACAUCUUCCACCAGCUUGUUCGUCUGCCUAUAUCUGAGGAUCCUUUAAAGCGAUUGAAACAAAAUUAAGGGCAGAAUGAAUCUUUGGUGAUGAAAGUGAGAAUCUGGGAGAGAUGUGAAAACUGGAAGAGAAACAGGAAGUACCUCCAGGAUUCGCCUAAAUAGAUGCUGCGGUUUCCAUCAAACCACAGGCCACCCCAGUAUCUCAGUGGCUUCUAUAGGUUGUCCUGAAAGAGCCAUGAGGCCAGACACCAAUUCCACCCUCCACCUUUCUGUGUCCGUCCCAGACCAAGGCAGCCCAGGUGAGGAGCCAUGGGUAGGAGGUUUCCCAGUGGGUAGAGGUGCCAGACUCAGCAGCUAGAAAUAUAGAAUGCUGGGUUAAAUGUAAAUUUCAGAUCAAUUAUAAUUUUUCGUGUAAGUGUAUCCCAUGCAGCAUUUGAAAUACAAUUUAAUCAAAUUUAACUAGAUGUCCUGCAUGUUGUAGGAAACUCUCUAGGAGGUGUGUCUCCAGGAUAGAGGGCCAGUGGAGAAUGGCAGCCCACACUGUUAUGGGAUGAAGUGUGUCCCCCAAAAUCAACAUGUUGAAGCUCUAACCCCCAGAACCCUGGAAUAAAACUAUAUUUGGGGUUAAGAUCUUU